This is a long non-coding RNA of Cervus elaphus (red deer), 148 nucleotides long. RefSeq lists it as uncharacterized. The record is from RefSeq and is a predicted model, not a curated record. NCBI's taxonomy places the organism in Eukaryota, Metazoa, Chordata, Mammalia, Artiodactyla, Cervidae. The transcript is spliced from 3 exons.
GUAGAUGUUUUUCUGGAACUCUCUUGCUUUUUCAAUGAUCCAACAGAUGUUGGCAAUUUGAUCUCUGGUUCCUCUGCCUUUUCUAAACCCAGCUCGAGCAUCUGGACGUUCUCGGUUCACGCACUGUUGACGCCUGGCUUGGAGAAUU